UACGUAGGGUGCAAGCGUUGUCCGGAAUUAUUGGGCGUAAAGAGCUCGUAGGCGGUCUGUCGCGUCGGCUGUGAAAACCCGGAGCUCAACUCCGGGCCUGCAGUCGAUACGGGCAGACUGGAGUUCGGCAGGGGAGACUGGAAUUCCUGGUGUAGCGGUGAAAUGCGCAGAUAUCAGGAGGAACACCGGUGGCGAAGGCGGGUCUCUGGGCCGGUACCGACGCUGAGGAGCGAAAGCGUGGGGAGCGAACAGG
RNAcentral lists this ribosomal RNA (253 nucleotides) under uncultured bacterium. Its description in RNAcentral is "partial 16S ribosomal RNA". It matches the Rfam family "Bacterial small subunit ribosomal RNA", at positions 524 to 776 of the family's 1533-position model. The record is from RNAcentral.